GACGAACGCUGGCGGCGUGCCUAACACAUGCAAGUCGAACGGGGUCCAUGGGAGCUUGCUCCCGGAAGACCUAGUGGCGAACGGGUGAGUAACACGUGAGAAACCUGCCCUGGAGUGGGGAAUAACUCGGGGAAACUCGAGCUAAUACCGCAUACCCUCGGAUGGUCGCAUGGCCGACCGAGGAAAGAUUCAUCGCUUCAGGAGGGUCUCGCGGCCUAUCAGCUAGUUGGUGGGGUAACGGCCUACCAAGGCAACGACGGGUAGCUGGUUUGAGAGAACGAUCAGCCACACUGGGACUGAGACACGGCCCAGACUCCUACGGGAGGCAGCAGUGGGGAAUCUUGCGCAAUGGGCGAAAGCCUGACGCAGCAACGCCGCGUGCGGGAUGACGGCCUUUGUGGUUGUAAACCGCUUUCAGCAGGGACGAAAAUGACGGUACCUGCAGAAGAAGCCCCGGCUAACU
This 463-nucleotide ribosomal RNA is filed under the name uncultured bacterium. Its description in RNAcentral is "bacterial SSU rRNA". It matches the Rfam family "Bacterial small subunit ribosomal RNA", at positions 28 to 502 of the family's 1533-position model. The record is from RNAcentral.